Molecule: ribosomal RNA, 443 nt
Filed under: uncultured bacterium
Lineage: Bacteria
Description: partial 16S ribosomal RNA
Rfam family: Bacterial small subunit ribosomal RNA
Source: RNAcentral
CCUACGGGCGGCAGCAGUGGGGAAUAUUGGACAAUGGGGGGAACCCUGAUCCAGCGACGCCGCGUGAGUGAAGAAGUAUUUCGGUAUGUAAAGCUCUAUCAGCAGGGAAGAAAGAAAUGACGUUACCUGACUAAGAAGCCCCGGCUAACUACGGGCCAGCAGCCGCUUUAAUACGUAGGAGGCAAGCGUUAGCCGGAGUUACUGGGUGUAAAGGGAGCGUAGACGGCGAUGCAAGUCUGAAGUGAAAGGCGGGGGGCCAACCUCCGGACUGCUUUUGAAACUGUAUGGCUGGAGUGCAGUAGAGGUAAGUGGAAUUCCGAGUGUAGCGGUGAAAUGCGUAGAGAGUAGGAGGAACACCAGUGGCGAAGGCGGCUUACUGGACAGAAACUGACGUUGAGGCUCGAAAGCGUGGGGAGCAAACAGGAUUAGAUACCCCUGUAGUC